RNAcentral lists this ribosomal RNA (486 nucleotides) under uncultured bacterium. RNAcentral's name for it is "SSU rRNA". It matches the Rfam family "Bacterial small subunit ribosomal RNA", at positions 26 to 518 of the family's 1533-position model. The record is from RNAcentral.
AGGACGAACGCUGGCGGCGUGCUUAACACAUGCAAGUCGAACGGGGUCCAUCCAGUGGCAACACCGGAGAAGACCCAGUGGCGAACGGGUGAGUAACACGUGAGGAACCUGCCCCGAAGACCGGGAUAACAGCGGGAAACCGCUGCUAAUACCGGAUACCCCCACCGGGUCACAUGGCCUGAUGAGGAAAUGGAUUCCGCUUCGGGAGGGCCUCGCGGCCUAUCAGCUUGUUGGUGAGGUGACGGCUCACCAAGGCGACGACGGGUAGCUGGUCUGAGAGGACGAUCAGCCACACUGGGACUGAGACACGGCCCAGACUCCUACGGGAGGCAGCAGGUGGGGAAUCUUGCGCAAUGGGCGAAAGCCUGACGCAGCAACGCCGCGUGAGGGAUGAAGGCCUUCGGGUUCGUAAACCUCUUUCGAGCAGGGACGAUAAGUGACGGUACCUGCAGAAGAAGCUCCGGCCAACUACGUGCCAGCAGCCGC